Molecule: non-coding RNA, 21 nt
Filed under: Caenorhabditis elegans
Lineage: Eukaryota; Metazoa; Nematoda; Chromadorea; Rhabditida; Rhabditidae
Source: RNAcentral
UGGAUACCUAAACUUAGGAAA